GGAAGAAUGGCUGAGCGGCUGAAAGCGCUGGUUUGCUAAAUCAGUAUACAGAUUUUUUGUAUCACGGGUUCGAAUCCCGUUUCUUCCG
RNAcentral lists this transfer RNA (88 nucleotides) under bacterium TMED88. RNAcentral's name for it is "tRNA-Ser". It matches the Rfam family "tRNA". Rfam says of the family: Transfer RNA (tRNA) molecules are approximately 80 nucleotides in length. Their secondary structure includes four short double-helical elements and three loops (D, anti-codon, and T loops). The record is from RNAcentral. RNAcentral also lists the same sequence under 2 other names.